Molecule: ribosomal RNA, 253 nt
Filed under: uncultured bacterium
Lineage: Bacteria
Description: partial 16S ribosomal RNA
Rfam family: Bacterial small subunit ribosomal RNA
Source: RNAcentral
UACGUAGGGGGCUAGCGUUGUCCGGAAUCAUUGGGCGUAAAGAGCGUGUAGGCGGUCCGGUAAGUCCGCUGUGAAAGUCUGGGGCUCAACCCUCGAAUGCCGGUGGAUACUGUCGGGCUAGAGUGCGGAAGAGGCGAGUGGAAUUCCUGGUGUAGCGGUGAAAUGCGCAGAUAUCAGGAGGAACACCUAUUGCGAAGGCAGCUCGCUGGGACGUAACUGACGCUGAGACGCGAAAGCGUGGGGAGCAAACAGG